CAAUGGGAACAAUUAGUCGAUUAUUGGUAUUCAAAUAAAGGAGAGGAUUCAGAAAGACUUGGGGUUGCUAGCAGAAAACAACAAAAAUAUACUCAUACCUCUGGAUCAAAGAGCUUUGCUAGAAAGGAAAAGGAAAUGGAGGUUCACAAUGGAAGAAAAGUAGGACGGCUCGAAUUUUUUAAA
Dioscorea cayenensis subsp. rotundata (Guinea yam) is the source of this 183-nucleotide long non-coding RNA. RefSeq lists it as uncharacterized. Lineage: Eukaryota; Viridiplantae; Streptophyta; Magnoliopsida; Dioscoreales; Dioscoreaceae. The transcript has 3 exons. The record is from RefSeq and is a predicted model, not a curated record.